UAAUAAUAAAUGGCACAUCUCUAAGACAUUUUUGCCAGGCACGCGCUGUAAAAAGAGUUAAAUUUAAUUAAUUGCAACAGCAUUGCAAUUUAAUUAAUCUAAAAGGAAUAUACAUUAGACUAAGGUAGGAUGUGCACCGGUUCCCCUAGCAGCAAUGGCACUCAGCCGGAAGAAGACGCUGGUGCGCCAGAGCAGCAACAGCAGCAGCAGCAACAACAACAACAGCAAGAACAACCACAGACAGAGCAGAGUCUUGGCCUCAGAACGCCCACGCAUGCAAUUGUUGGAGCUGCCACAGCAGAAGAAAUUCUGGAGGAAUAUGGAAGCACUUUGAAACUCCUGGAAUGCAACUCACAGGUGGCCGAACUACUAACUAUACUGAGAGACAAGAAUACCACCCGCAGCGAUUUUAAAUUUUAUGCGGAUCGUCUGAUACGUCUGGUUAUAGAAGAAUCUCUCAAUCAGCUACCCUACACCGAUUGUGAUGUAGAAACCCCUACGGGUGCUAUAUACGAAGGCCUGAAAUAUCGGUCCGGCAAUUGUGGAGUUUCAAUCAUACGUUCCGGCGAGGCUAUGGAACAGGGAUUACGCGAUUGUUGCCGCUCGAUAAGGAUAGGCAAAAUUUUGGUCGAGUCCGAUGCGAAUACACACGAGGCUCGUGUUGUGUAUGCCCGUUUCCCCGAUGACAUUGGCAGUCGCCAGGUGCUGCUUAUGUAUCCCAUUAUGUCCACUGGAAAUACUGUUCUACAGGCAGUCAAUGUUUUACGCGAACAUGGCGUGCCUGAGAAGUGCAUCAUCUUGUCCAAUCUCUUUUGUACACCAGCGGCGGCUCGUACUGUGGUUAAUGCCUUUCCUAAAUUGAAGAUAUUGACAUCGGAACUGCAUCCGGUGGCGCCCAAUCAUUUCGGACAGAAAUAUUUUGGUACAGACUAGAGAUUAAUUAGAGAGAGGGAAUAAGAUGAAGAUGAUGAUGAUGAAGACGAAGACAACCACAAUUGAGACUUGACAACUAAGCGCUGCUUAGGAUAGAUGGCAUUUGAUUUGGUGGUAUCCCAACGCGUCGCAAAACUUACCAAAACUUAGAACUGGCUUUUAUGCAAAUGCAAAGAAAACUCUUUAAAACAUGUUGUUAUACUACAUACAUAUAUCCUAUAAACUUAAUCAACUAUUUUAAUUGUAAAUAAAAUGAAUCACAAAAGCAAUUCACAAUGCCCCAGUAUCGGAUCAGAGUUACUGAAUGCUGAAUGUGAUAAAUCUCAAAGAG
RNA transcript from Drosophila willistoni, 1264 nucleotides. It is a transcript of the gene named uracil phosphoribosyltransferase homolog, with no coding region annotated. The transcript is spliced from 3 exons. The record is from RefSeq and is a predicted model, not a curated record. Lineage: Eukaryota; Metazoa; Arthropoda; Insecta; Diptera; Drosophilidae.